AUGAACGCUAGCUACAGGCUUAACACAUGCAAGUCGAGGGGUAACGUGAGGAAAGCUUGCUUUCCUUGACGACGACCGGCGCACGGGUGAGUAACGCGUAUCCAACCUGCCCAUAACUAAGGGAUAACCGGUAGAAAUGCCGCCUAAUACCUUAUGUGGUCUCUCGAGGACAUCUGAGUGAGACUAAAGAUUCAUCGGUUAUGGAUGGGGAUGCGUCUGAUUAGCUUGUUGGCGGGGUAACGGCCCACCAAGGCUACGAUCAGUAGGGGUUCUGAGAGGAAGGUCCCCCACAUUGGAACUGAGACACGGUCCAGACUCCUACGGGAGGCAGCAGUGGGGAAUAUUGCACAAUGGGCGAAAGCCUGAUGCAGCAACGCCGCGUGAAGGAAGAAGGCCUUCGGGUCGUAAACUUCUGUCCUUGGGGAAGAAUACUGACGGUACCCUUGGAGGAAGCCCCGGCUAACUACGUGCCAGCAGCCGCGGUAAUACGUAGGGGGCAAGCGUUAUCCGGAAUUACUGGGCGUAAAGAGUACGUAGGUGGCCCUGUAAGCGUAGGGUUUAAGGCGACGGCCCAACUGUCGUUCGCCCUAUGAACUGCAGAGCUUGAGUGCUGGAGGGGAAGGCGGAAUUCCUAGUGUAGCGGUGAAAUGCGUAGAUAUUAGGAGGAACACCAGUGGCGAAGGCGGCCUUCUGGACAGUAACUGACACUGAGGUACGAAAGCGUGGGUAGCAAACAGGAUUAGAUACCCUGGUAGUCCACGCCGUAAACGAUGAGCACUAGGUGUCGGGCUCGCAAGAGUUCGGUGCCGGAGCAAACGCAUUAAGUGCUCCGCCUGGGGAGUACGCACGCAAGUGUGAAACUCAAAGGAAUUGACGGGGACCCGCACAAGCAGCGGAGCAUGUGGUUUAAUUCGAAGCAACGCGAAGAACCUUACCAGGGCUUGACAUCCUUCUGAAAGAUUGGGUAAUGCCGAUCCCCUCUUCGGAGCAGAAGUGACAGGUGGUGCAUGGUUGUCGUCAGCUCGUGUCGUGAGAUGUUGGGUUAAGUCCCGCAACGAGCGCAACCCUUGCCGUUAGUUGCCAUCAUUCAGUUGGGCACUCUAAUGGGACUGCCGGGGACAACCCGGAGGAAGGCGGGGAUGACGUCAAAUCAUCAUGCCCCUUAUGUCCUGGGCGACACACGUGCUACAAUGGCCGUCACAGAGGGAAGCGAAACCGCGAUCUGGAGCAAAACCCCAAAGGCGGCCCCAGUUCGGACUGUAGGCUGAAACCCGCCUGCACGAAGCCGGAGUUGCUAGUAAUCGCGGAUCAGAAUGCCGCGUGAUAUCAUCCCGGUGUUGACACACCG
RNAcentral lists this ribosomal RNA (1348 nucleotides) under uncultured Eubacteriales bacterium. RNAcentral describes it as "uncultured Clostridiales bacterium partial 16S ribosomal RNA". It matches the Rfam family "Bacterial small subunit ribosomal RNA", at positions 29 to 1392 of the family's 1533-position model. Lineage: Bacteria; Bacillati; Bacillota; Clostridia; Eubacteriales. The record is from RNAcentral.